This 73-nucleotide transfer RNA is filed under the name Deltaproteobacteria bacterium. RNAcentral describes it as "tRNA-Lys". It matches the Rfam family "tRNA". From Rfam's summary of the family: Transfer RNA (tRNA) molecules are approximately 80 nucleotides in length. The record is from RNAcentral. Lineage: Bacteria; Pseudomonadati; Myxococcota; Myxococcia.
GGGCCAGUAGCUCAAUUGGUAGAGCAGCGGACUCUUAAUCCGGAGGCUCAGGGUUCGAGUCCCUGCUGGCCCA